Long non-coding RNA from Nomascus leucogenys (northern white-cheeked gibbon), 1420 nucleotides. RefSeq lists it as uncharacterized. The record is from RefSeq and is a predicted model, not a curated record. The transcript is spliced from 2 exons. NCBI's taxonomy places the organism in Eukaryota, Metazoa, Chordata, Mammalia, Primates, Hylobatidae.
UGCUAUGAUGCCACAAUCCAGUCUCUGUGACUCGGAGGAAACGUUUCCAUGGUGAUGAGCAGUGAUGUCAUAAAGGGGGGAUUGUUACAGGGUUGAAUAAAAUCUGGCACUAGAUGCACCCGGCCUCCUUAUAUAAGAGGGGGCGGGAGACAAGCCCUAUCAGCACAUCCCAGAAAAUGGGAAACCAAAUCACCCAGGGGAUGGCAAGGAAUGACCAGAGGGAAAGUUCCAGUUCUGUCCACCAUGCACUACCAGCCCCAUUUUGGAAAAGAACAGAUUUAAUAGAUCUCACCAAGACAAGAAUUGUUUUUGGUCAAAGGAAAUCAAAGGAACAAACAAGAGGCAGUGACCACCGGAGACUUCACCUUUUGGUCUAGGAAAACCCAAGCAGACAGUGUCUACAUCCAUCAAAGCCCAAUGUAUCAAAUAUUUAUUGAAUAAGAACCCACGGACUCUUCCUUACCAGAGCCUUAGAUUGCCAUGUGCGUCUGAUUGCUCCAAAGACAGGCUAUUGUGAUUUCGGCCCCGUAUGCAUUUUAGAGUAACAAGUCUUACCAGAAAAAUAACAGCCAGCCCCAGCUUAAUUCCUAGAGAAACUAAAACCACCUUGUUAAGAACAUUCCUGGAGGAGAGUUUAUACUAAGGAGCACUGCACAAUGCUGUUUGCCAUCUCUGGGCCCUCUAAAAGCAAGCCCAACCUUGGAAAAGGAAUGUCUGCCACCAGGGAAACGUGGCUGCACUGCUGGAGGAAGAACUUGAUCAGGAUGGGCAAUGCUUGGAAGUAAAGCAUCUGCUGCCUUGGAAAGGCUUGGUCAGGGCAAUCAUUGUCACAGGCCACUUUUUUUCUCUGACUAUCUCUUGGAAUUUCAGAGUGACUAAGUGAUUGCUACCAUUAGAGCAAGAGGCAGUGUCUUCCAGAAGUCGGUGUGGGUAGCACCAAAUCAUCCACCAUGUAUGAGAGAAAAGCCAGACAGCUGGAAGGCUCUAUUCCCAGGCCACUCUCCAGUCCCCAAAUAUGUCACCAUCUCCCAUGCCUCCUUACUGGGCCCAUGCUGUCCCCUUGACCAGGAAUGUCCUCCACCCCCAUCCCAUCCCCAUAGCCCCCUUCAUUGUAAGAUCUGGGCCCAGCAAAUUGCCCAGCUCCUCUUCUCUGAAUGCUUCUUUAAUGUCUCUAAGAAGGAAUUCCUUCCUCCUUUACUGUCCAUCUCUUCCACCACAUGAGGGGUUUGGGGGAGCUCUUUGAAGACAAGGAACCCUUCCUCAUUCGUAUUUGAAUACUAGACCCAAGCACGUGCCCCUAGCAUCUGCAAUACACAGAUGUCAAGGUGAAUGGGGAGAUAGAUGCCAAGAUCCUUGAGCGCUGCAAAUCUUCACUGCCAACUUCAACUACUCCAAACUAAAGUCAAAAUUUUAAAAGUAA